Small nuclear RNA from Equus asinus (donkey), 163 nucleotides. Its record names the gene U1. It matches the Rfam family "U1 spliceosomal RNA". Rfam says of the family: U1 is a small nuclear RNA (snRNA) component of the spliceosome (involved in pre-mRNA splicing). Its 5' end forms complementary base pairs with the 5' splice junction, thus defining the 5' donor site of an intron. There are significant differences in sequence and secondary structure between metazoan and yeast U1 snRNAs, the latter being much longer (568 nucleotides as compared to 164 nucleotides in human). Lineage: Eukaryota; Metazoa; Chordata; Mammalia; Perissodactyla; Equidae. The record is from Ensembl.
UUACUUACCUGGCAGGGGAGAUACCAUGAUCACAAAGGUGGUUUUCCCAUGGUGAGGCUCGUCCACUUCACUCGGGACGUGCUGACCCCCAUGAUUUCCCUACGUGGGGAAAAUCAACUACAGAAUUUCUGCUAGUGGGGGACUGCGUUCACACUCUCACCUG